UUAACUUCACCAAAAAUGAAUAGACAAAACAUCAACCGGCUCACAAGUUUUUUAACCGGCAAAUAGACAGAACAUCAACUGGCUUACAAGUUUUUCAAUCAGCAAAUAGACAGAACACCAGAAACGCGCUCCACGAAUUUUUUAACUUCACCGUUGAUGCAAUACAAGUUUUUUAAGUAAACGAAGCCAAGGAACAUACCACUCAAACAGCAGUACAGCACAAGCACGCUGCACUCAUAUACAAUCUCACUAACCUCAAACAUGAAGCUGCUAGUGGAGCGGCCAAAGAUGGAGGCGGCAAACUGUAGCCAGAGCAGGAUGGAGAGGCCAGAAGAGAGCAACCCACCAAGGUAGAGGUACUCCCUGCGCUUGGCCACGAUGGCAGCGCAAGAGAAGCAUGCGAAGGCAAUGGCCCCAACAAAUGCUGUCAUCAGGAUGCUGUCAAACACAACAGAAGCAACAGGUAAGCUACAUCAGUUAACAAAGAAAACAAUUAGUAUGUUUAUGAUGGUGAUUAACAACAGAUCUAAGAUUGAGGUUUUCGAGCAAAUUCAUGGCUCGGAGUACUCUGGUGUAUAAAUUUAAUUCAGAAUACAGCACAAGAAAAUUCAGCUCAUCAUGCCAAGAUAAUUAAAUAAAGCAGCAGCUCAGCCCUUCACCUAACAGAAUCAGCAAAAAGGCCCAAGCCCAACGCAUGACACCAUCAUACACAAAUCAGAGUUCUAAGACACCUGAGCAGAUUACAUGUUGCUAGCUAAGGCAUUUAAAGAGAGCAUGCACAAAUGCUAAUGGUCCAAAUGGAAGCCAAACAAACAGAAGUAUGCAGUAGCACUUCCCCUAAAUGGUCAGGACCAACAUAUCAUCUGAAAACCAUUCAAUUCUUAAAUUUAUCUCUUGCAAACCAUGUUAUUCAAUGCCAGGUCCCCCAUCAAGUAAUUCAAAAGCUCACAGGUUAUGAAAAAGACAUACUGCUGAUGAAAACUAGGACAAGAAGAGCUUCAGAUUACAGCUAUCUUAGUCAUACUAGCAGUCUUUUAGAAAAUUGGAACCUAAUUGCAUGACUUUCUAAUUGCAUUAACUAUUAAGAUAUGUCACCAAUUUUCCAAAAGAUUUAUUUGCCAAACAGCUCUGCAUGUGGCCAACCAACCAACAGGCUAACAUGCUUCCUUGCCUAACACAAUAUCACCAGCUAUACUCUGCCUAUAUCUGCCAUCCAUAUCGAGGCACAUAACUCAAGCCAUUAAUUUUAGUAUUUUGGGAGCUAAAAUGAUUUCAAAAGAAGGAACUGGUGGUUCUUAUUGAACUUUGCAUUUUCUUCAUUUUUAGAACUCUUCACUGCCUUCAAGGAAAUAUGACAAAAAAAAAACAUUCAGCGUAAAUAUAAUGAUGGUUUCUAUUAUGCAUGCAUGCAUAGUAUAAUACUGUCUGGCAGAUAGGAUUUUCUCCACAAGUCAAUGCAAGAUAACAUGGAGUGCGGAUAGGAAAUUAUGCAACUAAAAAGGGAACAGAAAAGGAGGUUUAGCAACAAUUUUCCUACAAUACCAAUUGUUACAAAACUAACCUACAGACAUACAACAAAGCAUGAAGCUUUAAACAAAUGUAGCAUCGAGACAACUCAAAGUACUCAAUUUUAGAGGGAAGAGAGGACAUGAAGUCGUCAUAGAUAAAGGUGUUAUAACUCAUGAUGCAAGGAUAAACAGAAAAAAAAGAGAGACUCAUUCCAGUAUUCUGCUAAUGACUAUAGAUGCAUGGUGGUUCCUAAUUGCAUGACUUCUACAUCAUGACUCCUUUCGAAGUGACCAAUGUGAAAACUGUCAAAUCUUUGAUUGCAACAGGAGUGUAGGCUGAAGCUUAGUAGGCAACAAAUUUCAAGUAGGCAAUCAUAGCAAGCCAUGGCCUUAUUGGUCGAUCCACAAGUAAAGAUUGCUUACAUAGCACCACAACAAGGCAGGCAACCAGCAGCAUACAGGCAAAGAAAUCUAUGCCCGGAACCGCGAUUGGAUCUGGGGAGGAAAAGAAGGAGAAAGGAAGGGCUUACCGUUGGGACGAGGCAAGGCGGGGAAGUCACGGAGCAGUGGAUGGAGAGGCGGCGGGGAAGUCACCGGAUCUUGGAGAUCGAGCCGGCCGGGGAUGGAGAGGCGGCGGCGGCGAGCCGCAGGGAGGCGGAGUGGCACGCAAGGAGGAGGAGCGGCGCGCAGGGAGGCGGAGGCGGCGUGUCGCUAGAGAGAGGACGGGG
This 2236-nucleotide long non-coding RNA is filed under the name Setaria italica (foxtail millet). RNAcentral describes it as "long non-coding RNA (SITA_LNC000381)". The record is from RNAcentral. Lineage: Eukaryota; Viridiplantae; Streptophyta; Magnoliopsida; Poales; Poaceae.